Molecule: non-coding RNA, 5200 nt
Organism: Osmia lignaria (orchard mason bee)
Lineage: Eukaryota; Metazoa; Arthropoda; Insecta; Hymenoptera; Megachilidae
Source: RefSeq, a predicted model, not a curated record
ACUUACACGCAACACGUGGCUCGAUCAGCUCUGAGGGAAGCUUCUUUCCGUUUGUCUUUUGGUUAACGUUUCGCGUGCUGUGUUUGCUCUGGCCCGACCCUAUGUUGAAUGCACAACGUUUAAGAUAAUUAGAGGGUCGGUUACUUGAAUGAUUUAGUUGUCUGUAAUGUGCUUCAUACUUUGGUAGCCUUGUGCAUUAUAUUAUAUUAGAGACCUCCUGAAGAGUAUGAGGUAGGAAAAUGGAUGAGCAGAUAGAAAGAGAAGUGUUGGAGGGAAAGUUGAAUAGCGUAACGGACGUCUAUCCACAGAACCGGAGCACACUUGUCUCUUCGAAUAAAAAAAGCACGUUGAAGCAUCUGGAGUUUCGAAAGAGGCCUACGGGGGCUGGCUCUCCGUAUAAAAACUGUUUAUGUAUGUACCUCGUAUGCGUGGGAGCAAGAUUUUACUCCGGUCUACGCUGUCCUAAAGGAUAACCAUUGUCUGCAUUUUCGAAAUAUUCUUCAAGUUAGAAUAUACAGAGGGCAAUUAAAAAGUAAUCAAAAAAUUUAUUCGUAUAAAUAGAAUGAUUUACAAACACACGUGUAAUACAUGAGCAAUGAAUAUAGAUGAGGCGAGUACAAGAUUUUUAUGUUAGCCGAAUUGUAUCUUCUAGUAUUCUAUAGUGACGGUUUUCGUCUUCAGGUACUCGUUCAGAGCCUCCUGACCCAGAUCCUUGCCGAAGCCGGACAUCUUGAAGCCGCCAAACGGUGCAGCAACGUCCGUCUUGUUGUAAGUAUUGAUGAACACUGUGCCAGCUUCUAUUUUCUCUGCAAAUCUCAACGCUCUGCUGAUGUCCUUGGUCAGCACACCGGAAGCUAGACCAUACUCUGUGUUAUUAGCCCUGGCUAUCACUUCGUCCAUGUUCUUCGAAUUGAACUUUGAGAUGACCAUCACAGGACCAAAGGAUUCCUCUUUUGCUAUGUACAUGUCGUCUUUGACGUCUGUGAAUAUCGUAGGUUCAAAGUACCAUCCAGGACGAUCCAGCCUCUUCCCGCCGUAGACUAAUUUCGCUCCUUCUUUUACGCCACGAUGUACAAAGUCCAGAAGCUUGUUCAGAUGAGCCUUGUGAUUCUGUGGACCAUGUGCUGUUCUUCUGUCCAGUGGGUUCCCUAUGGAGAUCUUCUUUGUCUCUUCCACUAUCCUCCUCACGAAUUCAUCGUGUAUAGACUCCUCCACAAAUAGUCGACCUGUUUCAGAAAACAAUUUUAUUGUAGAUAAAGAAACUUGUAGCGUUGAAUUUACUUAUCGUUUGUUCACUUACCAGCAGCAAUGCAGUUUUCACCCUUGUUGAAGAACACGCUGCUCAUUCCAACCUUAACAGCAUGCUGGACAUCAGCAUCCUCGAAUAUAACCAAAGGACUUUUACCACCGAGCUCCAGGGUGACCUUUUUCAAAUUACUGUUUGCACAGGAUCUCAUUAUGGAUUGACCAAUUUGCGUGGAGCCUGUGAAUCCUAGUUUCCUGAUCAACGGAUGCUCGCAGAUGGCGUUUCCGGUCACAGUACCGUUUCCUGGUACGAUGUUUAUCACUCCAGGAGGGAAACCAGCCAGUGCAGCCAGCUCUGCGAAUUUCAAGGCUGUUAAAGGAGAGCAUCAUCAGAGGGUAGUUCCAGGGUGUGACCAGGCCACAAACACCAAUAGGUUCCUUUCUUGUGAAAGAUAGAUUACGAUUUGGCCUGGCAUGGGAUAUAGGUAUGGUGGAGCCUUGGAUCUUGUCGCACCAACCAGCAAAGUACCUCCAGGUCUCUAUAGACAUCCCUAUGUGGGUCUUCAAGGCUAAAGUGUACACAGCACCGGAGUCCAAGCUCUCUAUCGUGGCUAGUUCUUCCUUGUGCUGCUCCAUCAAGUCUGCUAGCCUAUAAAUACAUUUAAAAUCAAUUUAUGAAGACUAUUGAUUUUUGGUAGACUAUUUACAAGGUAAUAUAUUUACUUGAAGAGAAGAGAACCACGCUCCCUGGCGCUGAUCUUGCUCCAUUCACCCUCUUCGAAGGCCUUCUUGGCAGCCUUCACUGCCCUGUCCACAUCCUCCAUGGAACCACACUCUACCGGACAGAUGACGCUUUCAUCGUGAGGGUUGAUGGUGUCUAUUGGCUUUCCAUGACCAUUCACAAACUCUCCAUCGAUGAACAACUGUUUGGGGAACUUCAAAGUCAUGUUGUUUGCCUGUAACUCUACAGCAUCGUAUUUGAUCUCCUUGGAGGCAGAGAUACCUCUCGCUGCUAGGACCACUGUGGUGACGAAUUGCUGGAACACCGGAUUCAUGAAAACAUCUAUGUUUUGUAACGUAACUCCCAGAAUUCCAAACGAAUGGUUACAUUUUCCACGAACAGACGGGCUUCUCUACGUACCACACGCGAAGAAGUCUGUGUCAUUUUCGACAUCCAUGUUCAAGAUGCCAGCCCAGAUGUUCCUAACGGUAUCCACGGUGGCCAGCUCUUCCUCCGUGAACUGGAUCACAGUAUCCUCGUUCUUCUGACCAUAUUUGCUAGCAGGAAUGGUUCUUGUUCCAAUUUUUAUCCUCUCCACGUUGACAAAUCGGUCAUCGAUGGCAUUGAUCAGUAAUCCGCCUUCGUGAAUGAUGCCUACCCUGUUCUCCACGUUCACCUGAAUCUCAUGGGCAGGAACCUGGUCGCUGUUCCAUAAGCUAGACCCAAAUAGACGGACUUCCUCGUCGUUGAUGGUAGUCCAGGCUCCUGGAGUGCUGUCCAUGCCACGGAUGAAGUUAUGGAUCUGCUUGGCAGGCUUGGACCAAUCAAUUUUUUGAAGCUCCUUCUUAUUUAACAUGGGGUCGUAGCUAGCUCCUUCCUCCGGUUGAGGAAUCAUCGGCGCAGUACCUUUGGCCACUAGGUCUACAGCCUCCCCCAAGGCUUUGAUCCCUUCAGGAUAGAGGAAAUUAUUGUACAACGUAUCUACAGUGUCUUUGGGCUCGACUUUGCAAGAUCUCUGCAACAAGAUUGGCCCAGUGUCGAGGCCAUCGUCAGCCCAGAAGAUUGAGAACCCUGCAGUGUUGUCUCCUUCGAUGAGAGUCCUGAGGAAUUGGAAUAUUUAUUUUUAAAAAUUUCAUUCAAUUGAUCGAUGACAGCGCCUGACAAGAGGAUUGGUCAGUUCAGAAAAGAAACUGUCUCGUGAAAUGUCAUUUCAUAAACGUCUUAUCACGGUGCUUAUCAGUCGGCUUAUCGUUACAUUUAUUGAACGUGAAAGCAGCGAACAAACACGCAUUAUGUAUAGAGAUAAUGUCAGCCACGAAAACUGAUCCGAACCGGUUUCCAUAAUACGCGUGGUGCCUUUGAUUUGACCUAACUGAAUGUCUACUUGCACCCCCUCCACCGGGAGAUAAGCGUAGAGAAUAUUUCACAGUGAACGGUCUCCUUUAUUACGUUAUACGAUUGCAGCCACGUAACGCGUUAUUAUGUUGAUUGCAGGCCUACUAACCAGUUUAUGGCACUCGCGCCACGAUGCCUGGGUAGCAGAGACGGAUGGUAGCAUAUGCUGCGAUGACGAGGGUGAUUGAUCACCUCCAUGGGAAUAAAUUGACUGCAGAACGGAAGGACGUUCAAGUCGACUUCUAUCCGUUUAUACAGUUCCAACACCUCUGGUAACGUUACACCCUUGCUCCUCCAGGAUUUGAUUUUGAACACAGGGGUAUUGUCAGCUUUUGCUGUGACGGCUGCAUUCAGGAUACAAUAGUAUUUAUUUAAAUAUCAAGAAAUGAAGAAAAAUCGUUAUUGGACUUCCUGAUUACCUAAUGGAUCCUCCCGGUUCCCUUUAUCAGGGAUAGUGAAGACUCCUGUGAUCUGAUGACCACUUUGCUUCAAUAGUUUGUAAACUUCAGCCGCGAACGGGCUCUGACCGAUUAUAGCUACUUUCAGUUGCGCCAUCGCCGUCUAGGGAUUUCAAAUCGUUUGAAUCCUUUCAAUAUUUAUUAAUAAUAUUAUCUGUACUGUUAAUGGAGUACAGUGAAAUAUCUGAGACCCCGUUACAUUAAUUUAAAGAAGCGUGCUCAGUGUUAGUCGGUAAUGUGCACCUGAUACGUACCUAUUUGUGUAACGUGUUAACACGAUUCUGUCUCAGCUAACUUUCACUGUGCUUUUUUUUUAAGCGAACUGUAAAGAAAAGAAAAAUACGAGAUAAGGAAGCUUGUGCAUGAGAAAGUGGCUGCAAAAAUGUGGCUACUAUUGAGUAAUACAAGCGUUAGUUUUCUACCGCUUUUGCUAUUCCCAACUGUCGUUCACUUGCCAGCGCAAUAUUUGUUUGUACAGCUGGAAUGUCAGGACAGGGUGUAAACAGUAAUUGUAUUUACAAAUAAGAAGUAUCAGUGGUAGGAUGUCUUACGGUAUUCACGACGUAGGUUCGCAAUGAGAGAAAGUUCCUUAGAAAUAGCAUCUAGUCUAUGCGACGUUUACUCUUACGGCUCUCCUCUGGUGCAUUCACUUUACUACAACUUCACUUGACGUUUGCUAGGCUACUGACCCGCGAAUCACUUGCAGCUAUUGACUACCACCAGCUGAAGCACACGUUUAUAUAAGCUAGAGCGUAUCAGCCACGAGGGUCAAGAACUUUGAGGAGAUCCCGUGGCGAUUAUCUAUGACGUCCCACGAUCUUCUUCCUUAUCUUGGAUUUUUUUUUAAAUUGUGCACGCAAGAUUUCGCGGUAUUCCCCCGCACGGUGACAAUCAUUUGCUUGGUUUGCAAAAAAUAUUUACAGGAAGUAAAAUUGUUGCAGAGUAGACUUUUAUAAUAUCAAGAUUGCUUGAUAAAUGAUUAUUUAGAUAACUUUGUUGUUAGUAUCUAGUUAAAGGAGGUGAUAUAAUUAAUCUCUUUUUUUUCAAUGCUAAAGAAUAUUUAAUUAUAAUUAUUUACUUGAGUAAUUAUGAUACGAACUUAUAUGCAAAGUCAUCAGUUUUUUUUUUGGAUCGUUUAUCAUUGGUUUAAGUUCUGACUAGUAUUAGCAGGUUUUAAUCAAAAAUUCCUCCUAUCGAUUGGUCAGAGGUCAUUGAUAAGCUAGUCUCGUACCGGUUUUAGUCAGUUUUAGGUCACGAGUGUACAGAUCUUUGACCGAGGCAAAUAAGUAAUUUAUAUAAGACUUUGAAUACGUUGAAAGUUGCUUUUAACAACGCAAUUUCAGAAGGAUCAAUAUUAAGAAACUCGCUAUUUUAAAAAUAA